AGCCUGAUAACCUGCUCUGUGUUCCAACUACUCUGACUCCUGAAAUUAUCCUGUUCCAUCUGACUCUGUCUGCUCUCCAGCCCCGGAAACCCCAGACAUCAACAGUGCAACUCAGUGAUGAAGAGAGAAGAAACUUCAGUGUGCAGAUAAAUGGACUGAAGAAGAGUGAUGCUGGCUGGUACUGGUGCAGAGCAGGAGAUCUACAGGUUCCUGUCCACAUCAAGGUCACUGAUCCAUCACCAGUUUUGACUACAGCAGUGACUACAAGAUGUCAGUACUUCCAUAGGACCUGUGAUCCAUUGGUACCUGGUGUCUGUUCUUUUGCUACUGGUGAUACUGGUCAUCAUCAGCAGCAGCAGCAGCAGCAGCAGCAUACAAAGAAAGAAAUGCAUCUUCAGUAUCAAAACAUAAUGAGCAGGACACAACCUACAGCUUUGUAAAUAUUCCUCCCAAAAAGAAAACUGUGUCUCCAAAUUAUGUUGAUAAUCAGACCAUCUACAGCACCGUGGUUGUCUAGUAAGAGGAAACUGUGGCUGGUGCCUCAAGGAUCAUGACUGGGUCUCGUGUUCAUAUUCAUCCUGAACAAACCCCAUCAAGACAAAGACAACAUGCUCCACACCCAUACCCCAGAUUUACAUCAUAGUCACAUGACCCUCAGGUCAUUCAGAAAAGACCAGUUUCACUCUCAGAACAUAAAGUACCUUAUUGUAAGUUUAGGCCUGCAACGGCUUGGGAACACACAGUGGUGCUUGAAAGUUUGUGAACCCUUUAGAAUUUUCUAUAUUUCUGCAUAAAUAUGACCUCAACCAUCAUCAGUUUUUCACACAAGUCCUAAAAGUAGAUCAAAAGAACCCAGUUAAAUAAAUGACACAAAAAUACUAUACUUGGUCAUUUAUUUAUUGAGGAAAAUGAUCCAAUAUUACAUAACUGUGAGUGGCAAAAGUAUGUGAACCUUUGCUUUCAGUAUCAACCUCAACCACCACCAGCAGGCGUCCCGGAGCUACUGGCCAAACGCGAACGGCCGGCCGACUUCCUCCAGAUGUAGAGCGCGGAAGCGCUGACGCUGUUGUUCAGGGGUGCACCCCACCUGCUGGAGGACAGCUUGGCGAAGGUCUACAUAGAUCAGCUGGCGGUCGGCGGGGAGCUGUAGCGCGGCCAGCUGCACCUCGCCCGUUAGCAGGGGGAGGAGGUGCGCCGCGCGCUGUUCCACCGGCCAGCCCGAGGCCUCUGCUGCCUGCUCGAAGAGCAUGAGGAAGGCCUUGUGGUCAUCAUGUGGGCCCAUCUUUGUGAGGGUGAGGGUAGAAGGGCCCGCGGUGGUGGAGGUGGUGGACCCUGCCGACGCGAGGAGGUGCCGGAAUGCCUGUCGGUCUUCUUGCUGCGCCAGCACCAGGGCCUCGAACCGGUGCUCCUGCUCCUUUCGGAGGGUGACUAGCACCUGGUGCUGGUUCUGCUGGGCCGUGGCGAGGGCGUGGACCAGGUCUGUGAAGGGGGAGGACUUCAUGGGGCUGUUCUUUCCUGUGCUCGAUCCCGGGUUUCGGCACCACUGUAGCAGUUCAUGUGGGUGGAGCACAGAAAGACGGCAGGCCAGAAUUAAGUUCCACAAACUCUUUAUUUUAGUCUUUUCAGACGUUGUCAACUCUCUAGUCCUGCACACACACACACACCAGUCGUCUGGUUGGGGAGAGAGCUUCCUUCCUCUGCUUUCUCUCUCCUCAUAUAGGGCGUGGUCACUGGGGAAGACACACAAACACAGAUUAACUAACAUCAGGUGCAGUGAUUCUGCCACUUACCUUCCCUGACUCCGCCCUCCGGUCACAGACCAACGUUUGACCACGCCCCCACUGACACAAUUUUACUUCAGUAUACUUAAUGAAAUGAACUUGAAGUAUACUUCUUUUUGAUAAGGGCAGUGUUGUAUGCAUCAACAGUUUUUAUUUUAACUCUUGCAUUAGAUUUACCAGUUCAUUAAUAAUCAGCAGAAAUGAGUUUUCUGUGGACACAUCAUUUUUUCUGAUAUUUGCUUUUUUUUCAAAUGAAACUCUUUAAAUGGAUGUUAAAUGUUGCAUAAAUACAGAUUAUACCACAACAGUGUUGAAUUAUCUGUUCUGAUGAACCAACAUGAAAUAACUUCUCACAGAUGAUCCACAAGAUUAACAAGGUGUUGCCAGGCAAAACAAACCUCACCCGGCAGCACUUAUUUUAUACCUAUAUGUUGAUAAUGGUAAUAUUUCUAAUCCUCAGCUGUCAGGUUAUAGUCCUAUGA
Long non-coding RNA from Neoarius graeffei (lesser salmon catfish), 2263 nucleotides. RefSeq lists it as uncharacterized. The transcript is spliced from 7 exons. The record is from RefSeq and is a predicted model, not a curated record. NCBI's taxonomy places the organism in Eukaryota, Metazoa, Chordata, Actinopteri, Siluriformes, Ariidae.